GGUUUGUGGCUCAGUGGCAGAGCACUUGCCUAGCAUGUGUGAGGCCCUGGGUUCCAUCCCCAGCACCA
Molecule: transfer RNA, 68 nt
Filed under: Marmota monax (woodchuck)
Lineage: Eukaryota; Metazoa; Chordata; Mammalia; Rodentia; Sciuridae
Description: tRNA.Ala
Rfam family: tRNA (bases 5-65)
About the family: Transfer RNA (tRNA) molecules are approximately 80 nucleotides in length. Their secondary structure includes four short double-helical elements and three loops (D, anti-codon, and T loops).
Source: RNAcentral